Long non-coding RNA from Bombus pyrosoma, 781 nucleotides. RefSeq lists it as uncharacterized. The transcript is spliced from 3 exons. NCBI's taxonomy places the organism in Eukaryota, Metazoa, Arthropoda, Insecta, Hymenoptera, Apidae. The record is from RefSeq and is a predicted model, not a curated record.
CACAUGGUCAGUACUGUUGAAAACAUCGUGAAAAGUUUAAAGCGUAAAAUUAUUUAAAUUCCACGAAUACUUGUAAGCUUAUCGAAAAUAACGAUGUUAAUAAUCACUUAAAUGAAAAUUAAAUAUUCUAUUUUCUACAACCAUCAAGUUUAUAAAAAGUGGAAGAUAUUUGUGGAAAAUAUUUCGUACAAUUAGUGUAUCAGUGUUGAAAACGAAUACGAACCAAAUAUUAAUCUGUUAAAAUAGCUGGAACUAAUUUGAAACAUUACAUCGCUUAUAAAAUAAUGCGACGUAGCAUGUUGUAUCCAGAGUAACCUCUGUCUAGGACUGUGUAUACAUAUCCAUACAUGUUACCGAAACUCGUCAAACUUUAAAUCUAGUCAGACAAGGCCGUAAAGAGAGCGAGAACGGUACCUGUGAACUUCUACCUAUUAUCUCGCGAAUACUAAAUUUUCAACGAAAUUCGAUUAAGAACAACUUGCAGGAAUCGCUAGGACAAUCGAAACGAACGAGGACAUGGAAAAACGGCGGUAAACGCGACCAGACGGACGAUCAAGUGGUUGAACGAUACGUAAUUCAAGAUUUCGUGGAUAAGAACGCAAACCCGACACUCGAUAACGAUGCCCAUGAGAAUGAGUCAACCGUUAAGGAGUAGACAUCGACAUGAAGGAUUAAAGAGGAGCCGUUCGAGUUCAAGCUGGCCGCCAACGUUUAAUCAACGAACCAAUGGUCCAAAAAAUGUAGACAUCGAUUAAACGUAUCGCGUAUUAAAUUUAUUUAA